AACAACGGAUCUCUUGGUUCUGGCAUCGAUGAAGAACGCAGCGAAAUGCGAUAAGUAAUGUGAAUUGCAGAAUUCAGUGAAUCAUCGAAUCUUUGAACGCACAUUGCGCCCGUCAGUAUUCUGGCGGGCAUGCCUGUUCGAGCGUCAUUACGCCCCUC
Molecule: ribosomal RNA, 158 nt
Filed under: Metarhizium anisopliae
Lineage: Eukaryota; Fungi; Ascomycota; Sordariomycetes; Hypocreales; Clavicipitaceae
Description: 5.8S ribosomal RNA
Rfam family: 5.8S ribosomal RNA
About the family: 5.8S ribosomal RNA (5.8S rRNA) is a component of the large subunit of the eukaryotic ribosome. It is transcribed by RNA polymerase I as part of the 45S precursor that also contains 18S and 28S rRNA. Functionally, it is thought that 5.8S rRNA may be involved in ribosome translocation.
Source: RNAcentral